Drosophila santomea is the source of this 2015-nucleotide long non-coding RNA. RefSeq lists it as uncharacterized. The record is from RefSeq and is a predicted model, not a curated record. The transcript is spliced from 3 exons. Lineage: Eukaryota; Metazoa; Arthropoda; Insecta; Diptera; Drosophilidae.
UCAAUGAAAUAACUGUCAACGACAAAUUCCCCAUUUCUAAAAUGGAUGAAAUAUUUUAUAAAUCCGGAUGAUGCCAAUACUUUACAACGAUUGAUCUAGCCAAGGGUUAUCACCAAAUCCAAAUGGAUAAAAAUUCCAUUGCGAAAACUACUUUUUCAACCAAACAUGGACACUACGAGCAUAUGCUCGGUCUGAAAAAUGCUCCUGCAACAUUUCAGAGAUGUAUGAACAAUCUUUUGGAAGAUUUGAUUAACAAAGAAUGUUUAGUAUACCUGGAUGACAUUAUAAUUUACUCCACUUCGUUGGAGGAACACAUUCUGUCUAUAAGGAAAGUCUUUGGGAAUCUCAGGGAUGCUAAUUAAAAACUGCAGCUAGACAAAUGUGAGUUCAUGAAGAAGGAAACUGAAUUACUGGGACACAUUGUAGCCACAAAUUGCAUAAAACCCAAUCCAAAUAAAACUUACGCAAUUAUGAAUUUUCCAAUACCUAAGACACCAAAACAAUUAAAACCAUUUUUGGGAUUAAGUGGGUUCAACCGCAAGUUCAUUCCUAACUUUGCCACGGUAGUUAAACCUCUGACCUUAAACUAAAGAAAGGUGCAGUAAUCGACAUCAAAUGUAAAGACUACGUUGAGUCAUUCAAAAGGAUACAAGUUUUGAUAACUUCAGAUCCGAUAUUGAUUUAUCCAGAUUUCUCAAAGCCAUUUUCUUUGAUAACUGAUGCAAGUAAUUUAGCUAUUGGUGCUGUGUUAUCUUAAUAUCAUAAACCCAACUGUUAUGCCACCAGAACUCUGAAUGAGCACGAGAUUAAUUCCGCUACAAUCGAGAAAGAAUAUUUAGCUUUUGUCUGGGCAACAAAAUAUUUCAGGUCAUAUAUAUUUGUUUGAUAGACCAUUUGAAAUACUGAGUGAUUAUAAACCUUUAGAAUGGCUUUAUAAUAUUAAAGAACCGAACGUGAAGUUACAAAGAAUAAAAUUGAAUGAAUUUGAUUAAAAAAUUAAAUACCUUCCACAGAGCGAGCGAAGAUAAUCUAAAUUACUUGUCAAUAACUGAAAGACCACUUAGACCACCAGACCAAACAACGAUAUAACCCAUUUAAGUCAUUGUUUUCAGAGGUUGGAAAUGGAAAUAAUUUACAGGGAAAUGUCAACUGCAGUCGGCAUGCUCGAGUUCAGACAUAGCGACCUCCUGGAUAUUUGGAGGCGUAACAAUCGGCAAAUAAGUUAUGUUUCAGAUUACGUUUAUUCCGCAAUCAACAACAAUAAUCUGGAAUCGAAAAGGACAGAAGAGAUUGACAAAAAAAUAGUAAAUUUUGAAUUAUUCAUUAAAAGAAAACUGCUCGAGUGUAAACGACAACUAGACCGAUUUAUUUCCAAACAUACUAAGUCGAUGGGGUCUAAGAUAACAAUUCUUGCUAGUGAUUUUGAAAUCUCCAAAACACCACAGCAAAUGGAACGCCGAAACUUAUCUCACCAAAAUGCAGGAGCAUUUACGCGUAUACACAUUUAUUAUAUUAAAAAAAAAACAAUAAAAUUUCGUUGACUCCUGAGUCAUACCAGUAGUUAAUAUAGGAUGCAAGAGAGGCCCAUGUGCGACAUUUCUUGCCUAAACCCUCACACAAUUGUCACGUUCCCACGCUCAAAGUUUGGACUCGCAUACACGAAAACAGAAGUUUUAAAUUUCAACAAAGGAAAUCGUAAGAAUCUAAGAGCACUUGUAUCCAAAAGCUAAUGCACUUGAACCCAAGAGAAAUGCAAAGAUAAUCAGAAUCAGAAACUUUAAAGCUCUCUUCAAUCCCUAAAAUCCAAAGUCCAUAUUUAAAAAGCUCGAGACCGAGGCUUGAACGUCAAUCAAUCUAGAUCAACAAGCUGCAUGCGCCAGCGCAGUUGGGACUGCAAUUGGAUCUACACUUAGCGAAUUCCACCUGGCCAUAAGCGAAGUAACCAUUCAGCCUCCAUAUAAUGACAAGCGCUCUCCUUCUGCAGGGCAUCCAUUUAGCAGAUUCAUAAAUGUUGC